AUGAACCUUUGAGGGUUGAGCUGGCGAUUUAAUUCGCAUGUGCUUACCUUCUCAUCCUUUUAUAACACCUGUGCACUUUUUGAAGGGGAAUAGUAGGUGAUGCAAAUCAUCGAGAUCCCCCUUCGAACUCACAUACACUUUAUUUAUUAUCGAAUGUUCAAACGCUUAACAGCAUUAAAAUA
RNAcentral lists this unclassified non-coding RNA (182 nucleotides) under uncultured fungus. Its description in RNAcentral is "sequence contains ITS1, 5.8S rRNA gene". Lineage: Eukaryota; Fungi. The record is from RNAcentral.